RNAcentral lists this ribosomal RNA (253 nucleotides) under uncultured bacterium. Its description in RNAcentral is "partial 16S ribosomal RNA". It matches the Rfam family "Bacterial small subunit ribosomal RNA", at positions 524 to 776 of the family's 1533-position model. The record is from RNAcentral.
UACAGAGGGUGCGAGCGUUGUUCGGAAUUAUUGGGCGUAAAGGGCGCGUAGGCGGUGCGGUAAGUCACCUGUGAAAUCUCCUGGCUCAACUGGGAGCUUGCAGGCGAAACUGCCGUGCUGGAGUGUGGGAGAGGUGCGUGGAAUUCCUGGUGUAGCGGUGAAAUGCGUAGAUAACAGGAGGAACACCUGUGGCGAAAGCGGCGCACUGGACCACAACUGACGCUGAGGCGCGAAAGCUAGGGGAGCAAACAGG